This 253-nucleotide ribosomal RNA is filed under the name uncultured bacterium. RNAcentral describes it as "partial 16S ribosomal RNA". It matches the Rfam family "Bacterial small subunit ribosomal RNA", at positions 524 to 776 of the family's 1533-position model. The record is from RNAcentral.
UACGGAGGGGACUAGCGUUGUUCGGAAUUACUGGGCGUAAAGCGUGCGCAGGCGGUUUUGUAAGUCUGUCGUGAAAUCCCCGGGCUUAACCUGGGAAUGGCGAUGGAGACUGCAAGGCUAGAAUCUGGCAGAGGGGGGUAGAAUUCCACGUGUAGCAGUGAAAUGCGUAGAGAUGUGGAGGAACACCGAUGGCGAAGGCAGCCCCCUGGGUCAAGAUUGACGCUCAUGCACGAAAGCGUGGGGAGCAAACAGG